CGCGUAGGCGGGUGGCCAAGUCUAUGGUGAAAUCCUCCAGCUUAACUGGAGAACUGCCGUGGAUACUGGUCAUCUCGAGGAAGGUAGGGGCAUCUGGAACUGGUGGUGGAGCGGUGAAAUGCGUUGAUAUCAUCAGGAACUCCGGUGGCGAAGGCGAGAUGCUGGACCUUUUCUGACGCUGAGGCGCGAAAGCCAGGGAGCAAACG
This 206-nucleotide ribosomal RNA is filed under the name uncultured bacterium. RNAcentral describes it as "partial 16S ribosomal RNA". It matches the Rfam family "Bacterial small subunit ribosomal RNA", at positions 568 to 774 of the family's 1533-position model. The record is from RNAcentral.